RNAcentral lists this ribosomal RNA (290 nucleotides) under Alkaliphilus peptidifermentans DSM 18978. RNAcentral's name for it is "16S rRNA. Bacterial SSU". It matches the Rfam family "Bacterial small subunit ribosomal RNA", at positions 1 to 250 of the family's 1533-position model. The record is from RNAcentral. Lineage: Bacteria; Bacillati; Bacillota; Clostridia; Peptostreptococcales; Natronincolaceae.
UUUUGAUUAAGAGUUUGAUCCUGGCUCAGGAUGAACGCUGGCGGCGUGCCUAACACAUGCAAGUCGAGCGAUUCAAAUGUUCAACACUGAGUAUUCGGUGGCAUUCAUUGAGUAUUGAGUGUUGAACAUUUGAAUAGCGGCGGACGGGUGAGUAACGCGUGGGCAACCUACCCUGUACAGAGGGACAACAACGGGAAACCGUUGCUAAUACCUCAUAAAACCCUAAAGGGGCAUCCCUUAUGGGUCAAAGAAUUUCGGUACAGGAUGGGCCCGCGUCUGAUUAGCUAGUU